UACGGAGGGUGCAAGCGUUGUCCGGAUUUAUUGGGUUUAAAGGGUGCGUAGGCGGGAGAUUAAGUCAGGGGUGAAAGACGAUUGCUCAACGAUCGCAGUGCCUUUGAUACUGAUUUUCUUGAGUGCAGAUGAGGAUAGCGGAAUGGGUGGUGUAGCGGUGAAAUGCAUAGAUACCAUCCAGAACACCGAUUGCGAAGGCAGCUAUCUAAACUGCAACUGACGCUGAGGCACGAAAGCGUGGGGAUCCAACAGG
RNAcentral lists this ribosomal RNA (253 nucleotides) under uncultured bacterium. Its description in RNAcentral is "partial 16S ribosomal RNA". It matches the Rfam family "Bacterial small subunit ribosomal RNA", at positions 524 to 776 of the family's 1533-position model. The record is from RNAcentral.